UAAGAUAGCCAUACCAGACUGGCUGUACCUGAUCUUGUCUGAUUAGCCCAAGCUAAACAGGAAUGGGCCCAACUAAUACUUAGAUAGGAGACUACCUGGGAAUCUUGGGUGCCAUAGGCA
Molecule: ribosomal RNA, 120 nt
Filed under: Alligator mississippiensis (American alligator)
Lineage: Eukaryota; Metazoa; Chordata; Crocodylia; Alligatoridae
Source: RNAcentral